RNAcentral lists this ribosomal RNA (526 nucleotides) under fungal endophyte. RNAcentral's name for it is "eukaryotic LSU rRNA". The stretch from base 198 to 351 matches the Rfam family "5.8S ribosomal RNA". Lineage: Eukaryota; Fungi. The record is from RNAcentral.
GCGGAGGGAUCAUUACUGAGUUACCGCUCUAUAACCCUUUGUGAACAUACCUAACCGUUGCUUCGGCGGGCAGGGGAAGCCUCUCGCGGGCCUCCCCUCCCGGCGCCGGCCCCCACCACGGGGACGGGGCGCCCGCCGGAGGAAACCAAACUCUAUUUACACGACGUCUCUUCUGAGUGGCACAAGCAAAUAAUUAAAACUUUUAACAACGGAUCUCUUGGUUCUGGCAUCGAUGAAGAACGCAGCGAAAUGCGAUAAGUAAUGUGAAUUGCAGAAUUCAGUGAAUCAUCGAAUCUUUGAACGCACAUUGCGCUCGCCAGCAUUCUGGCGAGCAUGCCUGUUCGAGCGUCAUUUCAACCCUCAAGCACCGCUUGGUUUUGGGGCCCCACGGCACACGUGGGCCCUUAAAGGUAGUGGCGGACCCUCCCGGAGCCUCCUUUGCGUAGUAACUAACGUCUCGCACUGGGAUCCGGAGGGACUCUUGCCGUAAAACCCCCAAAUUCUUUACAGGUUGACCUCGGAUCAG